CGCGGGCUAUACAUGCAAGUCGAGCGGACAGAAGGGAGCUUGCUCCCGGAUGUUAGCGGCGGACGGGUGAGUAACACGUGGGUAACCUGCCUGUAAGACUGGGAUAACUCCGGGAAACCGGAGCUAAUACCGGAUAGUUCCUUGAACCGCAUGGUUCAAGGAUGAAAGACGGUUUCGGCUGUCACUUACAGAUGGACCCGCGGCGCAUUAGCUAGUUGGUGGGGUAAUGGCUCACCAAGGCGACGAUGCGUAGCCGACCUGAGAGGGUGAUCGGCCACACUGGGACUGAGACACGGCCCAGACUCCUACGGGAGGCAGCAGUAGGGAAUCUUCCGCAAUGGACGAAAGUCUGACGGAGCAACGCCGCGUGAGUGAUGAAGGUUUUCGGAUCGUAAAGCUCUGUUGUUAGGGAAGAACAAGUGCGAGAGUAACUGCUCGCACCUUGACGGUACCUAACCAGAAAGCCACGGCUAACUACGUGCCAGCAGCCGCGGUAAUACGUAGGUGGCAAGCGUUGUCCGGAAUUAUUGGGCGUAAAGGGCUCGCAGGCGGUUUCUUAAGUCUGAUGUGAAAGCCCCCGGCUCAACCGGGGAGGGUCAUUGGAAACUGGGAAACUUGAGUGCAGAAGAGGAGAGUGGAAUUCCACGUGUAGCGGUGAAAUGCGUAGAGAUGUGGAGGAACACCAGUGGCGAAGGCGACUCUCUGGUCUGUAACUGACGCUGAGGAGCGAAAGCGUGGGGAGCGAACAGGAUUAGAUACCCUGGUAGUCCACGCCGUAAACGAUGAGUGCUAAGUGUUAGGGGGUUUCCGCCCCUUAGUGCUGCAGCUAACGCAUUAAGCACUCCGCCUGGGGAGUACGGUCGCAAGACUGAAACUCAAAGGAAUUGACGGGGGCCCGCACAAGCGGUGGAGCAUGUGGUUUAAUUCGAAGCAACGCGAAGAACCUUACCAGGUCUUGACAUCCUCUGACAACCCUAGAGAUAGGGCUUUCCCUUCGGGGACAGAGUGACAGGUGGUGCAUGGUUGUCGUCAGCUCGUGUCGUGAGAUGUUGGGUAGUCCCGCACGAGCGCACCAGAUCCUAGUGCAGCAUUCAGUGGGCACUCUAGUGACUGCGUACAAUGGAAGAGGGGGGGAAUGACGUCCAAUCAAUUCCAA
Molecule: ribosomal RNA, 1156 nt
Filed under: Bacillus safensis
Lineage: Bacteria; Bacillati; Bacillota; Bacilli; Caryophanales; Bacillaceae
Description: bacterial SSU rRNA
Rfam family: Bacterial small subunit ribosomal RNA
Source: RNAcentral